AGAAAACAAGAAUUUAUAUUUUUUCUUCUAAUUUUUUUUUCUCUUAUUUUCAUUCAAUUCAAACAUGGCAUUAAUGCCAUGUGAGUGUGAGAUUGGAAGUAAGCCCGUAUAUUUUUUCUCUCCUUUCAGUUCUUCAUUUCUUCUUCUUCAUGAGCCAUUUUCUACUUCUUGGAGGCCUAUUUCUAUUCUUUCCAGACAAGAGGAGGCAUCUCCCAACUGGAUAGUGGGCUACCCUCUUCCAUUUGGAGUUCUUGUGGACCGCUCUCUGUGAGCACUUAAAGAUGGUGAUGCUUAGGGACAUUACCGCUCUCUGGCCCCAUGUUCAUUGUGAUAAGCUUUUUGUCCAAGUUUAAAGUUACAGUUUUUUCUCUGGAGGUCUCUUCUUGUGCUUUUGUAGCCUUGCAUGGUGCUGGUUAGGAGACUUCUCUGAUAUGCUUUCUUUGUCUUUAUUAGCUUCGCAUUAGGAGGUUCCAAGAGGUUCAAGGUUAAAGGAGAAGAGGUUAUCUUCUGUUUUCUAGAUCGUCUUCUUGGGUAGAAGCACCCGUUUAACUUGGGAUUUUCCUUCUGCUUGUGAGCCUUGACCAGGUCUUUUUAAGACUAAGUGGGUUGCUAUGGUCUUCGUGUUUUCAUGCUGGUUUGAGCUUUGCACUUCUCCAACAAUUCAAUGGAUAUUUAUCUCUUUGUUAAGUC
This is a long non-coding RNA of Manihot esculenta (cassava), 690 nucleotides long. RefSeq lists it as uncharacterized. The record is from RefSeq and is a predicted model, not a curated record. NCBI's taxonomy places the organism in Eukaryota, Viridiplantae, Streptophyta, Magnoliopsida, Malpighiales, Euphorbiaceae. The transcript is spliced from 2 exons.